GCUGACGAGCGGCGGACGGGUGAGUAACGCGUAGGAAUCUGCCCGGUAGUUGGGGAUAGCCCGGAGAAAUCCGGAUUAAUACCGAAUAAUCUCUACGGAGGAAAGGGGGCUUCGGCUCUCGCUACUGGAUGAGCCUGCGUGAGAUUAGCUAGUUGGUGGGGUAAAGGCCUACCAAGGCGACGAUCUCUAGCUGGUCUGAGAGGAUGAUCAGCCACACUGGGACUGAGACACGGCCCAGACUCCUACGGGAGGCAGCAGUGGGGAAUAUUGGACAAUGGGGGCAACCCUGAUCCAGCCAUGCCGCGUGUGUGAAGAAGGCUUUCGGGUUGUAAAGCACUUUCAGACAGGAGGAAGGGUUGAUGGUUAAUACCCAUCAACAUUGACGUUACUGUCAGAAGAAGCACCGGCUAACUCCGUGCCAGCAGCCGCGGUAAUACGGAGGGUGCGAGCGUUAAUCGGAAUUACUGGGCGUAAAGCGCGCGUAGGCGGCAAGUUAAGUUGGAUGUGAAAGCCCCGGGCUCAACCUGGGAACGGCAUUCAAAACUGGCUCGCUUGAGUACGGCAGAGGAGUGUGGAAUUUCCGGUGUAGCGGUGAAAUGCGUAGAGAUCGGAAGGAACACCAGUGGCGAAGGCGACACUCUGGGCUGAUAC
RNAcentral lists this ribosomal RNA (651 nucleotides) under Saccharospirillum sp. RNAcentral's name for it is "bacterial SSU rRNA". It matches the Rfam family "Bacterial small subunit ribosomal RNA", at positions 87 to 740 of the family's 1533-position model. The record is from RNAcentral. Lineage: Bacteria; Pseudomonadati; Pseudomonadota; Gammaproteobacteria; Oceanospirillales; Saccharospirillaceae.